This 202-nucleotide long non-coding RNA is filed under the name Elaeis guineensis (African oil palm). Its description in RNAcentral is "long non-coding RNA (EGUI_LNC043045)". Lineage: Eukaryota; Viridiplantae; Streptophyta; Magnoliopsida; Arecales; Arecaceae. The record is from RNAcentral.
CUCCUCAUGAGUGUGUGAUGAUCACUAAUAGAGGAGAAUCAGAAUGCAACCAACAGGCCAUUAGUCAUGAGAAAAAGAGAGAGUGAUUAAAAGCCAUAUAGAAGGAGAUAAAAUUCUUGUAUGAUAAUUGCACAUUUGAGUUAAUGAAACUAUCUAAGAGUAAGAGAGCACUCAAGAAUAAGUAGAUUUUCAGAUUGAAGAC